UUAGAUUUCUGUGAUAAUACUACUCAUCCCGUUUUCGAACUUCGCACUGUCAAACGCUUUGGGGCGAUGAUGAAAACAAACUAUUUUUGUUGUUGACUCUCGAUCUUGAGCACUGCCAGAUGCAAGGCUAAUCAAAAUUAGGUAUUUCAAAAACAAAUAUUAUAUGAGAAAAUUAGAUAGCCUUUAUGUGCAGUAACCUUGACGGACUGCGAAAUCGUGUGCGAAAUUCGACUGUGAUAAUAAAUUAUUCAGGGUAAGUCUAAAUAGGAGUAAAUGUCGCAAUAAAUAAAAGUGUGUUGAAAUUGUGUUAAUUAAAUAAUUGUAUUAAAUAAUUUAAUAUGUAUUAAAUAAUUAAGUUUCCAACCGGAUGAAAUUAAUAAUGGCUAUAGCUUGUAGAGCCUGAACCCAAACCCCUACAUUUUCGGUUCUCCGCUUGAAUUUCCGGAUGACCAUAGUGCACAAUUUUGCUUAAUGUCCCUCGCUGGCACUCGGACGAUGAUCAGCCGCCUCUAACAUGGGGAACAGACGCUGUUAUGAGACGCUUCUAACAUGGAGAACAGACACUCGAUCAGAUUUGCACCCCCGGAGAGGAGCAAAUCCACUCCUCCCUUCCCUGUCAGCGGACGGGCAUAGUUCCCACCGGGGUUGGUUAUCCGGUCUUCCCUAUAAGGUUGCUCAUACCCCAGCCAGCACCACGGGGAAGGAAUAAAAGGAAUGCAGGGUUGCAGGGAAGAGGCAGGGGACCGCGAGAUUGGUCUAUUUUACUCCUUCAAGUACGCGAAGUACCAAUGUGAACCAUAAUGGGUCUCGAACUAUCUUAAGAACCUUCCGCGGUCCCAAAAACCUCUGGAUACAAAUCGCCGAUCGGUUCAGUAGCUUCCGAGUCUAUAAGGGUCAGACAGACAGAAAUUAAUUUUUAUGUAGUAUUUAAGCAGUCCCGACGAACUUCGGUUCGCCUAAAAUCGAUUUAUUCUCUGAUUAGAUCUCGAGUUAUGCAGAAAUCUAGAGUGCUUUGAGAAUAGGUCGUAUGUGCAAAAGAGAGCCUCUCUUCGGUUACAUUCUCUUUCGAUUAUUACAAAGCUAUACACAAAUUUAUGUUGGAUUUUUUGGCAGAUAUCUAAAGACAAUAACUUUGUCUAGCGUGCUAAAGUGAAAAUGUAGCAGAAAAUGCUAAACUUGCCGAUCUAUUAGCGAAAGAGAGCGUGAACAAAGAGAAUCUCUCUUUUGCACAUACGACCUAUUCUCAAAGCAAUCUAGAAAUAUCUGUUUCAUUUGUAUGGGGGCCCCCCUUUCCAGAAGGGGGAGGGUUUUCAGAAACAUAGAUUUAGCACCGACGAACCGACGUGUCACCCCAUAGAAAAUAAUUCAAAUUUGCUGCCCACGACGCCAUGAUGAAAAAUCAUCGAACACUACCGCCACCCCCAUAAUGGCUCGCGAAGUUUUCAUAGCUCAGCCACCAACCUACGUGUAUUAACAUUGCAGCGGAGUUGUGUCUUAGCUCAUUUGACAGGAGCGAUCGCCCGCAAAAGCGAAUGACCGUUAAAAAGUGUGAGACAAUCAGAGAGCGCCAGUGACACGUCGGUUCGUCGGUGGAUUUAGUUCCAUUCGCUUGAAUAAUUCUCGAGUAAUUAAGAAAUUGAUAUUUCAUUUGUAUUGAACCCCCCCUUUCUAAAACAAGGAGGGGUCUCGAACGAUCCUAAGAACCUUCCCCGGCCCCAAAAAUCUCUGAAUAUAAUUUUUCACGCCGAUCGUUUUAGUAGCUUCCGGGUCUAUAAGGGUCAGACAGACAGAAAUUAAUUUUUAUGUAGUAUUUAAGCAGUCCCGACGAACUUCGGUUCGCCUAAAAUCGAUUUAUUCUCUGAUUAGAUCUCGAGUUAUGCAGAAAUAUCUGUUUCAUUUGUAUGGGGGCCCCCCUUUCCAGAAGGGGGAGGGUUUUCAGAAACAUAGAUUUAGCACCGACGAACCGACGUGUCACCCCAUAGAAAAUAAUUCAAAUUUGCUGCCCACGACGCCAUGAUGAAAAAUCAUCGAACACUACCGCCACCCCCAUAAUGGCUCGCGAAGUUUUCAUAGCUCAGCCACCAACCUACGUGUAUUAACAUUGCAGCGGAGUUGUGUCUUAGCUCAUUUGACAGGAGCGAUCGCCCGCAGAAGCGAAUGACCGUUAAAAAGUGUGAGACAAUCAGAGAGCGCCAGUGACACGUCGGUUCGUCGGUGGAUUUAGUUCCAUUCGCUUGAAUAAUUCUCGAGUAAUUAAGAAAUUGAUAUUUCAUUUGUAUUGAACCCCCCCUUUCUAAAACAAGGAGGGGUCUCGAACGAUCCUAAGAACCUUCCCCGGCCCCAAAAAUCUCUGAAUAUAUUUUUUCACGCCUAUCGUUUUAGUAGUUUUCGAGUCUAUAAGGUUCAGACAGACAGAAAUUCAUUUUUAUGUAUAUAGAUUUAGAUAGAUAGAUAAUCCAUAAUAUACAGGAUUUAAAAAUAAUCUGUACGUAUAUAUUAAUGAGUAUUACAUUGAAAGAAAUUGAAAAUAAAAAUCUUAAUCAAUAAUUAAACGCAAGGGGUACCGUUACACAAAUUCUCCUGAUAUGCUCCGAUUAUAACUUCAAAAUAAGACUUAUUGU
Armigeres subalbatus is the source of this 2621-nucleotide long non-coding RNA. RefSeq lists it as uncharacterized. The record is from RefSeq and is a predicted model, not a curated record. Lineage: Eukaryota; Metazoa; Arthropoda; Insecta; Diptera; Culicidae. The transcript is spliced from 3 exons.